AGUUAAUAAGCUUAUUAAGCUUAUAUUUUGAAAAUAUAAGAAAAAGGUUAAAUCCUUUAUUAACUU
Molecule: transfer RNA, 66 nt
Filed under: Cyrtorhinus lividipennis
Lineage: Eukaryota; Metazoa; Arthropoda; Insecta; Hemiptera; Miridae
Description: tRNA-Ser
Rfam family: tRNA
About the family: Transfer RNA (tRNA) molecules are approximately 80 nucleotides in length. Their secondary structure includes four short double-helical elements and three loops (D, anti-codon, and T loops).
Source: RNAcentral